UGAGGUAGUAGAUUGUAUAGUUUGGGGGUGACGCCCUGAGCUGGAGAUAACUAUACAGUCUACUGUCUUUCC
Molecule: microRNA precursor, 72 nt
Organism: Eptatretus burgeri (inshore hagfish)
Lineage: Eukaryota; Metazoa; Chordata; Myxini; Myxiniformes; Myxinidae
Gene: mirlet7g-2
Product: microRNA let-7f-2
Source: Ensembl